This is a non-coding RNA of Cinara cedri, 401 nucleotides long. Lineage: Eukaryota; Metazoa; Arthropoda; Insecta; Hemiptera; Aphididae. The record is from the annotation of a GenBank genome assembly.
UUUUCCGACGUGGGUCUCGGUCGACCGUCCUUUUUGUCGUCAUCGCACACGGCGUUUCCGGCUGCCAUCAGGUCUCGCACACGACGGUCUUGUAUUUUUUCUGACUCUCGCACGCAAUAUCAUGUACAGGUAUAUUCCGUUUUAUCCGACCGCGGAAAACGGUCUACGAGUCCAUCGUUAUAGAAACGUAAUCUCCUCCGUUCGCCUGCGCGGACACGUGCUUCAACAAUGUACACUUCCGGUGUCGGGAGAAGGCCUCCGGGACGACCGCGGUUCGGGUGACAGGAGGGCCGUGUUCGGACAGACAAGUUGCUCAUAACGAUUUCGUUUUUCUCGGCCCGGGCCGUAGGCGCGAGCAGGGAAGUGCGGUACGAGAAUGCCUAGCCCAUCCAGUAUUCGAA